ACCACACUGAUUCAGUUCAGCUAGUGUUAUAAGCUGACCACCACAGGGGUGAGCCAAAGGCUUUCACACUGAGCCACAUCCCCACUCCUUAAAAAAAAUUUUUUUUAUGAAAAGAUUUUGAGACAGCAGCUUGCUAAAUAGCUAAGUUUCCCAGGCUGGUCUUGAACUUGCAACUUCCCUGCCUCAGCCUUCCUGAGUUCUGGGAUGACAGCUGCAUACUACUAUACCCUGAUCCUUGGGCAAAUUUCUGAAUUCUCUCUGAGUCUCAGUUUCCUCAAAAGUAAAAUAGAGAUAAGACCUGUCUCCUAGUUUGCUGUGGGUAUUACAGGAGUAACGAUACCCAUGAAGUCUUUGGUCUGCCAUUAGGGGCCCAUGAAAAGAAGGGGAAGGUGGCAUGAGAUACACCCAGAAAACUCAUCUAGGGGCAAGGAUCUUACUUUUGUUUGUGUGUUUGACUUUGUACUCGUUUUGGGGAUUAGUAUUGCGUGGCUGCCCAUGGCUGCAGGAAUCAGAGAUGGAAAUUCUGAGAAUGUGGGGAGAUGCAGGGCAGACUUGGGCACAGGCAGGGUGUACAGCCAGUAGCUGUGUACAGAAUACUGUGACAGAACCACGUGACAGCUCCUGGCCCAACCCUUAGGAGCUGGGUGCACCUGAACAAAGUGCCUAAGUUUCAUUUUUUCAUCUGCAAAAUCGGCUCAAUAAUGGGACAUUACUACUCAGCACCACCUCAGUUAUUCCGCUUUCACUUGCUACGAAUAUAUUUUCCCCAUUCAUCCUCAUAACACCCCUAUGGGACAGUGUGGGGGCUGUAGGGACACAACCCCACUGUCCAGCACAGGUGCGCAGCAGCACACAUUUGCGUAAGCAGGCCAUAGCGUAGACAGCUAUGCUGGUGCUACCUGGUUUUGACAGCACAUAGGACUGUAAAGCUCAAUAAUGGCCACUAUAUACAGGCCAAGCAGUAAAGACGCUGAUGGCAGCUCUGUGUGGUUCCUUCUCCCUGGGAACUCACCUGAAAAUACCCCUCCAACCCCCAACCCAGACAGGCAGGCAUUAACAUCUUCAUUCUACAGAUGAGGGCACUGAGGCAAAGAAGGGCGAGCUGCUGCUCAAGUCCACACACUCCAUUUCUUACUCUGAGAAGGUACCAGAGCCUGAGCUCUUAAUGCCAUUUUAGGAGCAUCCAAUGAACAAUAAUAUGCCUCUCACUUAUUGAGAUUCUUGUUCAGUGCUGCAUUCCCUCUUUUAAUCCUGGGAAUGAAGCCGGAUAAGUGAUGGGCCUCUGAAAGUCACCUAGUAUUUGUGAAAAGACUCUUUUCCCAAGUGGGAGCCUGCUUUGCUUUAUGGAUAGCACAGUUUUGGGGGGGUCUUCACCAUGAGCUGCAUGUGGGGAAUUGUUAAAACAAUGAUGCCAGGACCUGGGGGUGUAGCUCAGUGGUACAGCCUUGCCUUGCACAUGCGAGUCCAUGAGUUUGAUCCUCAGCACUACGAACACAAAACAAAAUGAAACAAGAAGAAAUGAUGCUAGAUCCCAUGUCACAGUUUCUGACUCCAUUACUCUGGGCUGGGAACCUUACAAGGAGAGUUUUUAAAAGCACCUGGGUGAUUCCAGUUUGCAGGUGUGAUUGAGAACACAAUACAAAGGUUUCUCCCCCCCACCAGGGUGGUACUGAAUCUGAGCAGUUUCUAGAUUCUGAGUUUAUUGUGUGAGAUGGGGGGCCUUACUCACUGAGCUAAUUAAUGCCUGGUGGACCCCACCAGGUGCUAAACACUGAGUCAAGACAUAGAAUCCUGGAAUGGUGACUCAUCCUGAUCUUAGUGAUUCCUGAUCUUAGUGAUUUCCCACCCCAAGGACGCUGUGAGGUCAGAGGUAGGCAAACCAGCACUGUUGGUCACCUUACCGAAUCCUUUCCUAAACCUGUGCAUUUUUAUAGAUACUAUUCAGUUAUUCCACAGCAAAUCUGCAUGUUUUUACUAACCCUAUUCCAUAGCAAACUUCUGAGGGAAGUUGUACUGCUUAACCAAUGUUGCAGCAGUGAAGAAACUGAGGCACAGAGAAUAUUGGUUGCAUAGUUAGUGAAGGAUGGUCACAAAAUAUUUCCAUAAUCAUGAUUUCAUUUUCUCUCAGGGAAACCUGCAAAACUAGGAGAGAUUUUUUGGGGGGAGGUUCAGGGUGGUUAAUGAGUUUCCCAUGGUCUGUGGCCUCUGUCCUAGAUGGGAAACUAGAUCAUCUGAUUAUCUGACCAUCACGUGGUUUCUGUGAAGCUGGGUGGGAGAAUGGAAAUGUCCCCUUGAAGCAAUGUCUUAGUUACUUUUCUUGUUGCUGAGACAAAAUACCUGACACCCAAAGUUUAGGAAGGAAAGAAUUAUUUAGCUUACAGUUUGUAGACGUUUCAGCUCAUAAUCCAAGGCAGGAUGGCAUUGCAGGGCAGAGCAGUUCAUGAUGGGGAGGCUGUAACAAAGCAAUCAGGGAGAGAGAAAAUGAACAUCUUUCUGUUCCUUAUAUUGUAUCCAGGUUACUGGAAUUAGGCUGGUGCUGAACCAAUGAGUGGACUGAUUUAGUAAUCACCCACCUUUAAUCCCAGCAUUGCACCAUGAAUCAGUUGCACACUCUAGAUUCAGCCAUAUCUGAAAACAACCCUAUCAGUGAUUGCAUGAGGUGUUGGGGGAACAUUUAGACACAAGCCAUAACAAGCAGCUUGAGGUUCAUCAGCUUUGACAUGCUCUGCAGAAUAUGGGCAUCCAGACUUCUUCUGCAGCCGCAUGUCAUUGUGGACUCCUUGUCUCCAAGGUCUGAGCUGGCUCUGGAUUGGAAAGGCUAAGAUGAUCCCAGCAGCUAAGCAGGUGCUGUUCAUUUAGAACUCCUCUCCUCGGGUCCCCAGCUCCAUCCAGGGACAUAUAUAAAAGCACCAUCAGACUCCUAAACAGCCUCUGCCCUCUGGGGAGGGUGGAUCAUUCUGGGAGAAUGUCAUCUGAAGUACAGAACCAUGAGGGAAUGUAAGCAGGCUUGUACAAACAAUUCUUUCAGCAUAACCAAUGUUCUAGAGGUUGAUGUAGGGCGAGAAAUGCGAGCCAUGGGUAGGUUAGCCUGGUUUCCCAAUUCAACACAGAUUAAUUUUUUUUUUUUUUUUUUAGCUUUAUAGGAGGGACCAAGAGAUGGAUAGGGGCCUGCCUGUCCUGGAGAAGUGCAGGAAUAUAUUCAAGUUUGAGACAUCAAUGCAGGGAUUCUCAUGGGGCAUGAGCUGAUUUUAGGAUGUAUAAAGACAUAUUUUAAAAAAUGUGCUGGUGGCACUCACCUGUAAUCUCAGCACUCUGGGAGGCUGAGGCAGAAGGAUUGCAAGCUUAAGCUCAGCUUGAGUAACGUAGUAACUCAGUGAAAACCCAUCUCAGAAUAAAAAAUAUAUAAAAAGGGUUGGGGAUGCAGUUCAGUGAGAAACAGGGCCUGCAACCUGCAUUGGCAGGUACUGCAAGCUCACCAUAGUGCCUUGCUACAGGCCCUCUGCCAAGUACGUUUCCAGUAAAAUCGAGCAUCCCCAAUCCAGCAGUGAAAAAUCCAAAAAGUUUUGAGUGUCUUUAUGAGACUACAGGUGGAAAAUUCCAUGCCUGAUCAGCUUCACAGGAUAAAGUGGCUGUCAAAAUGCAGGCACACUAAAACGGAUCAAUGAUAUUGCCUUCAGGACAUACGGAUGAAAGUGUAUGUUCAUACUCUAGGCCUAUCCCCAAAGGUACUGCAUUAUGUAUGGGCAAAUGUUCCAAAAUGCAAAAGCAUCCCAAAUCUGAAACACCUCUAUUCUCUCAAGCACUUUGGAUAAGGAACGCUUAGUAUUAAUUAGUUUAGUUCUCAUAAGCUUUCUAUACAUAAACUUUGUAAUAGAUCCACUUUACAGAUGGGGAACUGAGGCCUAAAGGAGGGAAGUUAUUUACUCAAGGUGAGGCUGCCAUCCUGGCUGGCUGCUUCCCAGAGUCUAUAAGGCUGGUCUGUGGCAGGUGGAGCGCAUGUCCCCACCUGCCCCAAGCUCACUGCUGCCUCCAUUUGGGUGGCAGAGGCUGGCUUUUCUGCUCUCCAGCCCUCGGGAGUCCACUCAGCAAAUUGCAUCUGCUCAGCUUUUAACCCAGCUGCUGUUUCCCCAGGCUUCCAUUUUUAGCUCCGUGGACUGGAACGCAGUGUUCGAUGCACUGUAAACCUCAAUGUCAGUUUGAUUAUAUGAGCGGCGUGUGUGGGCUCCGCACUCUGGCGUGCUCCUUUCCAUGUCUAAUAAUAACACUCUGGAUUCUCUGGGCCCUUUUCUUCCAAGGCUCUCAAAGCAUUUCAUAUGCAAUGUCCCAUUUAAGCUCCCAGCACCCCAGGGAGGCAGCUGGCUGGUGGCUAUUCUAUGAAAGGGCUCUGGAACUAUUCAGUUCUCUUUAAACCAAAAGGGUUCUUGUGAUCGCUGUUUUAAAUGUAAGACAAACUGAGUCAUAGGAGAUAUGCUAAAGGGAGCUGCUCACCAUGUGCAUCUUCUCUUCGCAGUCCUAGAAGAUGCAUUCAUGAAUUGUCCUUUUUUUGGAGGAGAAAAAAGGCUCAGAGAAGCCAAGUCACUAAUUCAAGGUUAUGAAGCUUACAAUUGAUGAACUGUGGGUUUUGAACUAGAUUUAUUUUCAAGGCCUCUGAUUUUUCCAUUGUAUCAUUAAGUGGGACAUUCUAGAAUUAAAGGAACAGAUCUUAAUUUUCUUGGUUCCCAGAGCAGGCCAGCUCCCUGUCUCUGUGCUUAGAGCUUUAUCUGAGGAAACUGUAGACUGAAAGGAUUAUCUGUCAUCAGGCAUGCCCGUCUCUCAUUUUCUAAAAAUCCUGGAAGUAGGGAACCACUUGUUUGCUUUCCUUUCCAACCUCACCACUCAUUCAUUCAUUCACCCACUUAUUCAUAAAAGCAUCAUUCCUGGGUCCAGCAAGCAUUUGUUGCUCUCACCUCUGUGCUAGAUACCAUGUGCAUGAAUGAGUGGGAUGAAAGGACAGUCCUGCUCUGAGUCUCCUUUCUCGAGGGCUGUGAGUUAAGCAAAAGUCCUUUGUGUGACCUGGAACAAGUGACCUCAUCUCUCUGAGCCCCAUUGGGCUUGGAAUGGGGGAUAAUAAUAGCAUGUAUUUUUUUUUAGGAUCAAUGUGAGGUGGGAAUGUAUGCGGUGCAAAAAUAUUUGAAAGCCAAGCAAUGGAUUAAUCUCUGGGUCAGAGUUGAAGGUCAGGUACAAAAGAAUCCAGGUGCUUAUAUGUUGUUUCCACUUGAUCCCUCUCUGUAGUCCUCUCAGCUCUGCCUUCUUUCAUAUCAGCGUCACUCCCAGGUAAGCCCCCCCCACCUUGGUGGCAAGAUGGUCUCUUACAGCUCAAGAGUCAGAUGUUACUCAUAAAUCCAAACAGGAUCUUCUUUUCUUCUGUGGCUGCAGCACAAUUCAUGAACAUGACUUCCAUCAGACCAAGUUGGGUCAUGUGCUUGUCCUUAAACCAGUCACCGAGGUCAUGGGCUGGCAAAUAAAUUGAUUGGCCAAGUCUGUGGCAUGUCCCUCACUCAAACUGGGAGAUGGAGUCACCAGCUUUAAGCAAACCACAGGCCCUAGGAACAGAAGAAGGCACUCGCUCCAAAGGAAAACUAAGUUCUGUUCACAGAAGCAGAAUUGGUGCUGCUAGAAUGGGUUGCCCUAGAAGUAGAUUAGAGAUCAAGAUUUGCAUGCAAGUAAGUUAUUAAUUAAGAACUUCUUAUGGGGGGCUGGGGAUUUAGCUCAGUGGCAUAUGCACCUGCCUUGCAAGUGUGUGAUCGUGAGUUUGAUACCUGGUACCAAUAAAAAAGAAAAAGACAAAAAAAAAAAAAAAAGAACUUCUUAUGGGAGAAACUGGUAAGAAGAUGAGGGAAAUAGGGUAAAGAAAGGGGAGGAAGCCAAAAAAAGAUUUAAAUUCUGGUAAAGUUCCAGCAUAGCCAGAUCUCAUAGGGGAGCUCUGGAAUAUAAAUUGCACCUCAGAGAGUGUCCCACCUCCCAAAUAAGGGAACUGUAUCCACUAGUUAGUCAUCAACAAUGGGUCUUCCCAGGGACUCUGAGUCUGCAGAUGAGGGACAUAGCUGUCGUGUUAAGGGCAAGGCUUGGAAGAGGUGACAGAUACAAAGUUUUAGCAUCAAGGCACACAGAAGCUUUGUGGAAUGUAGAAGUACACAGGAGAUCUGGCUGCAGUACCAGUAAAGUCCUCUCCAGAAGGCAAAAUUAGAGCCAUCCAGAUAGAAGGAGAUUAAGAAGCAAUGAAAAAAAUGAGGCAGAAAAAAGGGAAAGAAUGAAAAUCAGUGGAGAAUUGGGAAGGUGAGAUGAUCUCUAAUCCUGACCAGGAAUGAGGAGCAGAAACCAAAAAGCAGGACACAGUCCUGCUGCCUCCUCGUCCCUGUGUCACACCGCUGCUGACAAUAUCUCUCGUUAUGGUGUCUCUCUCAGAUCUCAGCAACAUGCUGAGACUUUGCUGUGCAGAAGCAGUGGGGCAUGACUCAGCCAAGGGCACAGGCAGCAGGGAGGUCAGAGGGGCCGCUCGGUUCCUGCUUAGAUGAUAAGGUUGGCAUGAGGUCAUGGGCUCUGGGAGUUCUGUUUGCUUGCUCAUACCAAGACUGACCUUCCAGCUGCUGAGGUCUGCAGGCUCAGAGGUCCCUUGGGCUCCUUUGGCUGCGUCCUUCCUACCUACCUCUCACCUCCUCUUUGGUUUCCUUAACAAGAGCAGGUAACAACCUUUCUGUACUAGUUUUCAUCAAUCUGUAUCUUUCCUAAGCCUUCUGGCAUUAGAAUGUUCUGCAGAGGUGCGAGAGGCAGUGAGAAACAAGCAAGGGGUGCAGGAGGACAAGGCAGCAGCCCCAUCUCCACUCACUGCCGCUUGCUCUGUUAAUUAUUUUGAGAGUAAUGAGGUGGGUCAGGCAAGGGAUAAUAAAAGUACAAGUCAUUUAUUGAUCCCUUGCUGGGUAUUAGACUCUGUGCUAAGUGCUCUAUAAGCAUCAUCUCAUGGCGUCACAUUCAAGAGUCAUAGGAACUGAAAUUUUGGGACUCUUCUUGGAAUAGAAACUCAAGCCAAACAUCUUGGGACAAGACAUAUUGGCCCAUGAAAUGGUAAAUGUGGGGAAACUAAGCAUAGCUGGUUCCAAAGGCCGAAUUAUGUCAUUUAAGUAUUUUUCUUCCUAUUAUGCUUUUUUUCUGGCUUGGUUUCACCAUCAAGCAGGUUCUUAUCCUGUCACUGUUCAGUAUCUAAUUAGUUACAGGAGUGCCAGUGAUCUGCUCAGCAACUUCACUGGGUAGAGAGGUUGUCUUUCCCAGAGGUUCAUACUGUAACUGCAUCUCCAGUUUGGAUUCUGAGUUCAUCUCUGAACCAACCAGCAAGGCUGGGCAUGGAGUGCUCUGAUUGGUUAAGCUUUAGUCAUGUGUCCACUUCUGGAAUUGGAGGUGGAGUUAACUUCAUCUAAAAACACACAGAGUGAGAAUGGGGGAGUCCUGGUUCCCCAAAGAAAAGUGCUACACAUUCUUGCUAGUAGAGGAGAUCUGUGUCCUAGGAAGGGGAGAUAAAAGAUGGGAAGUUCAUUAGGAAUUUAUAUUAUUAUUCUUCAUUUACAGAUAAAAAGCAGAGGUCUAGACAAAGACAAUGAUUUUCUUAAGACCACACAACUGGUAAGUGACAAGGUGAUGACUGGAAACCAGUUCAGUCUGAUUCCAGAGUCUGAGUUUUUGACUGCCACCCAGGUAGCUGGUUCAAUGAGAGAAUGUGUUAUUGAAUCUCAUAAGUGCUAUAUCAAUAGGCAGCAAUCCAAUAGGUAGUGAUCCACUUAUUGGAAAUGAGCCUUGAGUCAGGAGCUGAAGGGAUGGAUUCUAUUUCUAGGCUGCUAGUUGUUAGAUAUGGAAUUUUGAACAAGAAAUGUAACUCUGAGGCUCAGUUUCCCCAUCUAUCUGCAGACCAGGGGGGGCAUCCCUUCUGUUUGCCUUAUAGGAUAGCUGAUUGGGUGUGAAAAAUGCCACUGCAUUGUCUGUUUCUUUUGUGUGAUGUGAUUUUUCCUUUGGGUAAUAUUAAGUGUGAGUAUGCAUAAAUUAUACUCAGCCAGUAUCUCAAUAAAGAUCUUGAAUAUUUACUAUGUGGUAGACAUCAUGCUCUGUCUGAUGCCUAGCCAUAGAAGGCACUGGGUGGAUUUUAUUUAAAUUAAACCUUUCUGUUACCCUCCCAAUUCAGAGGUGAGUGUCUUCAUCUCUUCUGUGUUAGUACUACUUUUAACCAAACUACUAGAGUUGUAGUUCAAUCUUCGUAGUACAACUGAAAAAGCCACAGCGUGGACUUUGGAGGAAGUAUGUUAAAACCUCGGGAAUGAAAGAAGAGACAGUUAGAAGAAUUGAUAAAAGAUUCCACAGCUUUGGAGACUGUGAUGAAGUGAUUUGUACCACCCAGAUGAACUGAAUCAGCGUGAUUCUGGGUAUGGGAGGCCCACCUGAGGACUGUUGCCAACAGCAUAAAAGGAGGACUAGAGGGGAAAAUGGUGUGCAGUUGAUUCUCCUAAGAAGUUUGUCCCGCUGGUUUUCCUGAUGUGAGCUCAGCUAUUCUCACUGCUCACUUCUUCUAGCAGCCUAGAAGUAGAAUCCAUCCCUUCAGCUCCCAACUCAAGGCUCAUUUCCACUCACAGGGCCUCAGAUCCAGAGAAACUGCACUCAAAGAGCUGGGCUUGCAGAAUUUCUAUGAAGGAGCCUGACCGCACUUGGAUUUGAUUUCCACAACAGGAUCCUGGAACUGAGCCUGACAGCACUUUAGAUGAGGUUUCUGGGUCUUUGGGAAGGGAGCUGUAAUUGUUGCCUGUGGGAUGAAUGUACAUAAUUUGUGCCAUGACUAUACUGGCCUUAAAAAUACCUGCACAUUCAUUCACAUUCCUCUAAUCAAGAGGUGCUGUUUCUAUUUCUUGUUCUUCUAUCUUGUGAACAGAUGCCUUGAUGAACAGAUGCAGUGGAGGUGACAAAGUGUGACUCUGAGGCUCAAGGCAUUUUAUAAUAAUUACUAUUAAAAAAUGAAAGAAAGAGAAGGGAAGUUCUUGAGUUGAAACAUAUCGAGGGUUGUAUUAGUUUCCCAGAGCUGCCAUAGCAAAUGACUAAAAACUUGGAGGUUUAACACAGUGGAAAUUUACCCUUUUAUCAUUCUGGAGUCCAGAAGUGUGAAAUCAAAGUGUUGGUAGAACUGGUUCCCUCUGGAGGUUCUGCAGUUAAAAAUCUGUUGCACGCCACUCUCAGAUUUCUGCUGAUUGCUUACAAUGCAUGGGAUGGGACUCUGUGACCCCAGCGUCUGCCUCCAUCUUUACAUGGCCUUCUCUCUGUGUCUCCCAUCAUCUGCUCCUUCUGGGAGAAGGAUGACAGACUUGCCCUAAAUCUACUAUGAUCUCAUCUGGCGAUACUUAGUUAUAUCUGUAAUGACUCCAUUUCCAUAUAUAUUCACAUUCACAGGUGUUGGGAAUUGAGUUUUGGAUGUGUCCUUUUUUUUUGAGGGAUGAAAUUCAAUGCACCAUGGGGUGUAAAACAUUUUCCAAUAACCCUUCCCCCGAAUAUUGUAUGAUCUAUUGCUUAUUGCAGAAUUUCUCAGCCUCAGCACUAUUAACGCAUCAUGUUCAAUAAUUCUUUGUCAUGGAAGAUUUUCCUGUGAGUGAAGAAGGUUUAGUAGUACCCUUGACCUCUACUCAUUAGAUACCAGAUUACCCUGCACCAGCCACAGCAACUCAGACAUGGCCAAAUAUCUCCUGGGUAGCAUCUGAGGGUAGAAUAUAAGUCUUCUAGUUAAGUAUGAAUUUUAGAUAAACAAUAACUGUUUUGUUGUAUUGCAAAUAUUACAUAGGACAUACUUCUAUAAAAAUUAUUUCAAGAGGCUGGGGUUGAAGGGUCACAAGUUUAAGGCCAGUGUGGGGAACUCAGUGGGAACUUGUCACACACACACAAAAAUAUAGGGCUAGGAAUCUAACUCAGUGCAAGGCUUUCGGUUUCAUUUCUGGUACAGGGGAAAAAAUGAAAGAAAAAAUAUGUAUUUAUUUAUUUCAUUGCUUGUGCUUGGAAUCCUGAUAUUUUGACAAAUCUAGCUCCAUCCUACCUAGGAGUUGAAAGUUACCCUUGGUCGAAAAUACCCAGUUGAGAACAAUCAUUAUAAAUUCAUAUUUAUCAAGUAUUUAUUCUGUGCUCCCAGCAUGCCAUGGACUGUCCACAAUUCAUUACAUUUAUAUCUUGCAACAAGACUGAGAAAUAGUUGCCAUUAUUACUUCUAGCACCUAAGUACAUGGAAAGACUCAGUUUGAACUCAGAUCCAUGUUUUCAUAGACACUGAGCUAUGUCUAAGGAAUGACUCUUGGCAAAAUUGUGAAUGCUCUGUGUGCUUCAGGGAAAAUGUCAGUGAUGUCAAGACUAUCAGGGUGAGAUGGACUGGAUUUGACAGAAUGAGAAUGCAAAAGGAGAACGGCUAGAAGGCAACAUAAGGGGAUACAGGAAAAGCAACUCUUUGAAGAAGGAACGUUAUGGACGAUCCUGGCAUGUGGGAAUAUUUGCCAAGAGGAGAAGCUGAGUUGUUGUGGAAAGAUCACAGUGUUUGAUGGAGCUGGCUGGAAUAUUGGCCUGGCCUUGAGUGGUACUGUAGCGACAACGGUAUCUGACACUUACUGUGUAUUCCAUGUGUCCUGGGUAUUGCUCUAAGUAAGAUCCCUAUGUUAUCUCAAUUCUCAGAUGAUGCUCUUAGAGAGAGUCGUUUUACAAAUGAGGAUUCUAAGGAUUAAAAGAAGCUAAAACAAUUGUCCCACACUGCAGAAAGUUCUCCAGAUGGGCUUUGGACCAGCCCGGUUCUCCUUUUCCUCUUCUCACUUGUCUCAAGAAUAACUACAGAAUGUGUUGGAAAUUCACAUCCUGAGACAAGGAUAGACUGGCUGGACCAGCUGGGAUUGUUUCAGUCCCUUCUAAAACCAGGAUGUCAUUCAGUGCUUUAGCCUAGCGUGUUAAGUGGGUCCUGGCUCUAAAAUCCAGGCAAGGUUGCUUUUGAGGGGUGCCUCAGUUGUGCAAACAGGGCUCUAUCUACCCUGAGCAGCUAUGCUGAGCCUUGGGGCCCCAGCUUAUAACGCUUCCAUGCUUCUGUUGUUGUUGCUACCUAUCUGUAAUUAAUAAACCUGUGAUGCAGGUAACUUCAUGUGUGUGUUAUAUUUCACCAGAUUCUGCUAAGUGGUAACCUAACCAGAGUACAGCGAACCCACUUCACACAUCUAAGCUGGUGAGGGCAGAGGGCAAUUUCUGGAUGCCACAGUCCAUAUGUUGCAAUCACUGUUCUGUGUUACUUCUCUUCAGUGCCUCAAGUCUCAGUUUCCUUCUGUCAUCAGUGGGAAUAAGAACCCUUGGCUCUUACAGUGACUCUGAGAAGUCACUGUGCGGAUGUGUCUAGAUCACAGGGCAUAGCACAAGGUAGCCAGUGGUUACCGUUCUUAUUAAGGGAAGAGCAGUGGACCUGCAGCAGGGACCUUAUUACCUCCGCUGCAGGCUCUGUGUGUUUAUCUGGAUUGUAUCUUAUUCAUCUUUGUUCAUUUAAUUUCUCAACUAAAGUCCUCUGAUGGUUUACUGUGUCCCAGUGGCUAUUCUGACAUGCAGCUAUGACUAAGAUGCAAUUCCUGUCUUUAGGAGUCUAGCAUUUCCUUUCCAAGCUCAGGCAUUCAAGAAAUGCCUGCUGGAAGGAUGAAUGUGAGAGCAAAUAAGGCCUGCUUUUCCAACACAAGGGUAGAUUCUUCUGUGAAAGUUACCAAGCAUCCCUCCCAUUUCCUCACCCUUAAUAAUAACAAUAACCACCUGCUGCCCAGUGCGAGGCCCUAUACUUUAGACAUGUUCACUCAUUGACUGGUAUCACGGAUUAGGGUCUUCCAGUGAAAGUGAUUUUACCCAUCUGAGGGAUACAGAUGUGAUAUUUUCAUUGUAAGGGCAGAGUGACUUAAUUAACCAGUAUUUAUAAAGUGCUUUCAAAGCCAUAGAUGAAAAGCAAUGCAAAACUGCCUUGUGCUAUUGGUGUUAAUAAUUUACUCUACUCCUACACCAGUACUUUCAAAUAUGUUCCUUGAAACAGGAAGAAGUAGCAGCUAGUCUUGAGAUAAUUAAACCCUACAUAAAGAUCACCUACUUCUUGAUUAGAGCAAAAACAAGCCCUUUUCCUUUCUGCUGGGCUGCUCAUUUUCCUUAUUCCCAGGUGAGCUACCUUGUUUUGGGAACAUCUGCUGUUGAGACAGUAACUUUCUCUCUGGGUAUCUAUCGCUUAAGACAGGUAUUUCAACCCAAAUCUUCCCAGGGUCUCAUCAAAACCUAGGAAAUAGAUGGGCCACAAGAUCAUUUGCAUAAUUAACUUUUGAUUGCAUGCAAUUUGUAUCACUUAUCUUGUAAAGUUACAUAUUACUUGAUUUUCUGAAAACUUUGUCAUUUCUGUUUCUAUCAUCAUAGAAGUGGCAAAGGUGUUGGAUCACACCAGGGACCUGUUUUAGGGCUAGGAGGAUGGGAGGUUAGUACCUGCUAUGUGUGUACAAUGUAAUUUCAUGUAAUUCACUGGCACUCAGUUUUGGCUGCAUGCUGAAAAAUACUUAAGCAUGGGUCUCAUGCCCAGAGAUUAUGUGAUUUGUCUGGCUGGGCGGGGAACUUUAGCCUCAGGAGCUAAACCACUGCCUUCCUCAGUGAUUCUCAUGCAGCAAAGACUGAGAACUACUGAUUUAAUCCUUAUAACAAACCCAUACACUUUUGCUCCCUGCUCCACUUUAAAGGCAUGGAAAUCAAGGCUUGGAGAGUUAGGUGGAAACCAUUCAUCAUUAUUAAUGUAAUAGUUGAUCAUUUUUGCAUUUGUAUGUCAGAAUCUGUGCUAAGUACAUUUAGUGUGUGUUUAAUUCUUGCAAUGACUAAGCAGGAAUGAAUAACCUUUUUAUUAUGGAUAAACAAACGGAUAAACAAACUUUUUAUAAAAAGUACCUAAUCUGCCUAAGGUCCCUUUAUCAUCAAGAGAUCACUGCAGGGGAGAAGAUUGUGUGGAUCAGAUUAGACUGCGUUGGGAUUUGAACUUUGGUGCAAACCUCAGGCUCGUGCAGCAUCCAGCCCCAGCACUCCUUAAGGAUCUCAGUUUUGUCUUCCUCAGGGCUCCUUAAGGCUUAGCAACUUUCUGACCCCUUGAAAGUCACCUGGAAAAGACUGUAAGGUGGCAUGGAACAAUUAGGGCCAAAGAUUAGACUUCCCAGACACACUCGGAGAACCAGUACUUUCUUCCUCUGUCUCUUCCUCAAAUAUUUGGGAACUCUGUGCUAGAGACAGAGAUAGACCAGGACUGGUACAUAGCAACUAUCACUUGCCAGUCCAUACUGGAGCUUUGAAUUAACCUGUAGAAGUUGGGUUUUGCCCCUUGGGGCAAAGUAAGAUGAUGAUUUUUCUUUUCUGAGAGGAAUUUUCUUGUCCUCAUCUGGAAGGGAGCAAGAGGAAGAGAAUUUCAUUACCCUUGUUCAGCCAAAUGUGCUCCUGAAGAGUGAGUGCCGUGGUGCCUUGCCAUUCACAUAUAAAUUCAUUCAUUGAGUCUUUUUGAGCUCCUGCCAGGUGCCUGGCGCUAUUGUAGAUGCUGGAGACUUUGAAAAGUGAGGCCAAGCCCCUUUAUCCAUGGUGACUUAAGCGAUGAGAAGCAGCAAGCCAUGUAUAGAUGUGGAAGAGCAGUGUUCCUAGCAGAGGGGACUGCAGUGAAGAGUCCUGAGCUGUGUCUGAGCUGGAUGGCUUGAAGGAGCAGUGGGGCAAUGUGGCUCAUUGUGGAUGAAGCUGGGAGAGUACCAGUGGGGUGGGCAAGGGCUGGAUCAUAUCAUCCCUUGUAGCUGAGGUGAGGUGUUUGAAUGCUACUCUGAGUGUAAGAGGAGGCUUUUGGAUGAUCUUACAUAGUGAGGGGACAGGAUCUAACUUACAUUUUUGAUCACUCUGGCUACACUAGGAGAAUACACUGUAGGGGGCAGGCAUGGAAGCCUUGGCUGAGUUAGGGGAUGUUGAAACCAUCUAGGUGAGAAAUGAUAGUUUGAAGCAGGGGGUGGCAAGAGCAGUGGUUGCACUGGGCAUCUGUUUUGAAAGCAGAGUCAAUAGGACUUGCUGGUUAAUUCACUGGAGUGAGUAGGGGAAACAAUAAUAAGCAAAAGCUUCACUGCUAUGAUAGGAAAGGCUGAGGGAGAAUCGGUUCUUGUCCAACUAAGUUUGCAAAAAGAUGUCCUAUUGUAUUUUCUGUUUUAGAAAUUUCUUAGUAGCGUAUGGAGGGUCUGAAAUGAUCAGAAAUAACAAUAUCUGCUUAACUUUGGUUAACAUAGCUUUUAUCUUACCUACUGCAUCAAGUAAAUUUGUCCUUGCCCCGCAAAAUGUGGUAAGAUUCUGCAGACAUUAUUUGAAUGACACCCAGUAUUAGUGUGUUAAGAUAUUCUGUGUUUGUUUGUGUGUGUGUCAGAAGAGAGAGAGAGAUGAGAGAGAGAGAGAUAGAGAGAGAGAGAGAGAGAGAGAGAGAGAGAGAGAGAGAGAGAGAGAGAAGGAAAGUCUGUGUUUCCCCAGCCAAGUUGGAGAAGUAACUUAGAGAUUAGCAGUGUUCUAAAUUCUGAUAGAUAUACUUUUAUUCUUUCCCUCUCCAAAUCUUUCCUAAAUUUAAGGCACCUCUGCCUUCAGUUUAAUUAGUACUCCUGCCCCCAGUCUAACUCAAGCCUAUCUCCACUAAAUCAGAGGCACUUACUAAGAAAAUUCACUGCCCAAAACCUUAAAUGGCUUCUUGUUUGCUUCAGGAUAAAUUCCAAAAGCUUUACUCCGCCUGUGCCAUGCACUUCACACGUUGCCUACCUUCUCAGAUACAUUUUACUCUAUGGUCUAGAUAAACUGAGUUUUGUAAAGCUUCUUAUGUUGUCUUCUACCUCUGAGCUUUUGCACAUGCUCUUCCCUCUGCUGGGUACACUGUGUGACCUCACGGUGCUCUAGUUUAGGUAUUAUUUGUGCAGCACUACUGGUGCAGGAAUCGCCUGACUUCUCCUGCCUGAGUCAGACCUCUGAUUUCCAGGUCUCCCUAGCACUUGCAGCAUGUGUCAUAGGUAUUUGUGCUGGUUUUCUUUUCCUGCCAAUAGUUGGGUUCCAUAAAGCACAGCUGAUUGUCCUGUUACCUCCAGUGCCCAGCAUAUGCCAGGCACAAAAUGAUUACUGUAGAGUACAUCUGCACUGGGUGAGAGAAUAAAUGAAUGGAUGUAACUCUCUGGAUCCUUAUCAAACAGAAGCAAGCUGCUGACCAGUCUCCAGUGUCCUGCUUCCUAUGACUGGAUGCCAACAUCCGGAGCUGAGUAAAAUUAUCACAGAGCUAUGAGUCUUGAAGGUCACUGACUCUCUCUUUCUGUCUUUAGACUGAGUUCUUCUUGGAGAGCAUCCAUGGUUUGAUGGUCUCUUUUAAAGAUGGGAAGUUUGGAGUCAUAGAUGGUGACUAAGACAUUAAUUCAAUUUAGCAGUCAUUGCUGGGAAUGCAGAAAUGGUUAAGAUGUAGAGGAUUAUGCAACCAAGGAGAUAGAUUCACUAAUAAAGUUCACAGAAGAAAAUGGUGAAAUGAGUGAUUUUUGGAGCAUUUCUGGGGAGUAUGGAAAGAGUAAUUAAUAUGUCUUAGAAAAAAAGGGGAAUUGAAGAAGCUCUAGGAGAAAAAGUGAUAAUUUGAUCUCUUAGGGCUGACAAGGAUUUGCUAGUGAAAAAUCUAAGGAAGGGGAUGUGGAGGGUGGGUGCUCAGGAAGAGUAGGGGCAUAGCUGAAGAUGUUGGUGGCAUAUUUGAGGACCAGUGAAUCAUAUACCUACAGAACCAAGCAGGAUUGAAUCUAAGACUCUAUUUGUGGGAUACUUUCGCUUAUAAAUAAAAGAAAUCCCUGCCAGAAAAGGUUCAUGCAUUAAGAAAAAAUCCUGUUGCAUCACAAGAAUUCUGGAGGGAGAUGGUUGUAUAGUGACCAAUUCAGCCACUCAGCGAUAUCACCAAGAAGCCAAGCUUUUCCCUCCGUAUUUCUACACACUGUGAUUCUGAUGAAUUAAUUUGAGACUGUGUUCUCUCCUGUCAGUUUUCCUCUUUUUUUUUGUAAUCACUAAGGUGAAUAUUUUCCAGAGGCUCCACCAACCCUUUUUUCUACAAGUCUAUUGGCCAGGGUCCUAUCCCAUACCUAAAAUUAUGAAAGUCUCUGGAGAGUAAGAUGUCCUCUCAUGAGUGUCUUAGGUCAGUCAAGACUCACACCUGCACUCAGGGCUGAGAAUGGUACCUUAGGCACCUCAAGACAUGAGCAGAAUCAGAGGCCUAUGAACAGGAGACAAGAUCCCAGUAGGAUGGGUAGCUAAUUUUGCCCACCACAGAAAGUUGGAGUACCUAAGCUUUGUUCAGAGCUCCAGCACAAUGUGGUCACCACCUAGCAUCACUAGCCUCUUCCCAACUGCUGCCCUGAGGACAUGGAGCUCCAACAGUGUCAAAUGUGAAGACAGCAGCCUCACUAAGAUGGCUAACCAGCACACACAAUUGAGUAAGGCCAGCUCCUCUGUAUAUGUUUAUGCACAAUUAUUUAUGUAUUUCUUAUAUUAUAAAUGUAUUUAAUUAUCAUAUUUACAUCUCAUAUAUAUGUUAAAUAUGUGUCAUAUUAUACACAUAAAAUGUAUGUCAAGUAUAUGUCGUGUAUAAACUGCAUGAACAUUUGUCUACCUGAUUAUCUGUCUCCAGUAGUUGGUUUUGCUUCUCCUACUGCAUGCUGAUUGGUACAGGAUUUUCAUCAGAGUAGCAAUGAUACUGAGUGCUUUUUCAGUGUCAGGACUGUGUAGAGUGUUUGAGACAUGUGACUUACUUAAUCCUCACAGUAAUUCUACCAGCAGGGACUACUAUCCCCUUUUCACUGAUGAGCAACACGAGUUCAGACAGGUCCAGUCACUUGCCUGUCAUCAUAGAUCUGGAGGGCUUGAAUGCCAGCCUGUGGUUGGCAGGCUGAGUUUUAAACCACUUCACUGUGCUGCCUCCUUGAAAAACGCUUUCUAGCUAGACUUAUUUACAUUAGGAUUCAACCUUAUGGACACGCUAAAGCAUGAACAGUAGACAGAGGGAAGGAUGAGUGUGCUUACUUUGGAGACAGGAUUUGCUCUCAAGGUCAUGAUGUCUUCAGGGUUCUGAUUUACAUGCGUGUGUGGCAUUUUCACUGGCUCAUGAAAGAACCUCCAUGCCUGGCCUUCUUUUGGAAAGCUUUCAUGUUGCAAAUGUAUGUUUUUUUCUUCUUUUGGAAAGCAUUCAUGUUGCAAAUGUAUGUUUCUUUCAGUGGCAAGAUAACCCCACCAUUUCUAUGAAAAGUGUAUUGUGACCACGUGGGCCACAUACACACUGUAUACCAGUCACUCUUUCCCACUCCAAGAUGUGCAUUUUUCAGAGACUAAGCCACAUGAGGGGGUAGAGAGGCUUAUUUGAAGUCAAGCAAUUCAGGGAGAAUUCUCUGGGCCAAUGUGGUGUGUGUGCCUCUGGCUACACACAGGAUGACACUAGGUAGCCCUGACCAACAAAUAGAGAUGAAUCAUAUGGUUGUUCACCUUUAAAUGCGUAGUCUGCUGCUGAUGGCUGAAAGUGUUUGUUUGGUUCUUAUGCAUCUCUAAUACUUCUCUAAUGCUGGCCAAUCUGCCUUUGAAAAAGAAAACAAGUCACAGUGUGAAGGUCUUCAGUGGACAGCAUAUUUAUAGAGCAUUUUGCUGCAUUUAGUGUAUUAUAUUUAAUUUCCAGCUUUUGCUGAUAAUCAAGGGCAAGGAUGAUGCUUUGCUACUUGUAUAUGUUGGAGUUUUUCUAAAUAAGACAUAAAUCAAUUUAAAGAUAUGCAUGAAUAGUGCAGGUGGUUCUGCCUUAAUUGAAAUGUGCUGUGUGUAUAGACUGCAAUCUGACUUUCAAAGACAGUAUGAAUAAGAGCAUGUAAAUAUCUCAUUUAUAAUGUUUGAUAUUAUAAUGUGUUUAUAUUACAUUUUGGAUAUUUUAGGUCAAGUGAAGUAUAUUAUCUGGGCAUAGUGACACAUGCCUAAAAUUCCAGUUACUUAGGAGGCCGAGGCAGGAGGAAUCACAAGUUCAAAGCCAACUUAGGUAACUUAGUAAGACCCUAUCUUGAAAUAAAAAUAAAUUAAUAAGGCUGAGGGAUGUGGCCCAAUUAAAGACCCUGGGCCCAAUUCCCCUGUGCAAAAAGCAAAAAGCAAAAACAAACAAACAAACAAACAAACAAAACCCCCAAAACAAAAAAAAAAACACCUAAAUUUAAUUUUAAUUCUUUCUUUUUUGCUUCUUUAAGUGGUUUGCAGAAAAUGGAGCGGUGCAGAUGUGGCUCAUUUUCAGUUUCUUUUGGAUAAUGCUGGCAGUUAGGCUGUGAGACACAGGAAAGCAGAGGCACUGGUUUCUUGCUCUCUGCUUGUACCUUCACUGUCUAACGUCACACCUGCAGGGUAGUGAGUGCUUGUGGGUUUUUAUUAAGCCACACUGGGUUUGUGCAAACUACCACUGUUGUUUCUUGGGCUUUACUAAUAUUUACUGAAAAUCCUUUCUUUUUGGGACUGUCUCAGACAAUGAUUUGAUAAGCCAGUUAUUAUGGGUCAAUCAAAUGCCACUUUAUGAUUUAAAACCUGCUUAUUCAGAUUAAUGACCAUUAAGUGGCUUUUAUCACAACUCUUUUUGGUUAAUAUUUUCAAUUAUUUACAGCUUCAUUUUAUAUUUUAAUAUAAAUUAAAUCCUUUAAAGUUAAUCCUUUAAUAUAAAUUAAUCCUUUAAAGUUAGAAUAACCUGUUUUUUAAAAGCUAUCGGUCAUUUAAAAACAAAUUUAUUAUGGAAAACUAAACAUAUAAACCCCUAACAAGAACCCCCCCCCAAAAUAACAAAACAGAAACAAAAUACCAAAAAUACACUUAAAGAUUUUAAAAACAAUAUAAGGUUUUGAACAAGUAGAUAGAUGAAAGUUGCCUGAACAGUAAGCUCACAUUUAAGUGUUGUUAUAUAUUUUAAAUAACAGCUUUAUUGAGAUAUAAUUCAUACACCAUAAAAUUCACCCUUUAAAGUAUGCAAGUCAAUGGUUUUUAGUGUAUUCAUAGAUUUGUGCAGCUAUCACCACUAUCUGGCUUCAGAACCUUUCUGUCACUGUAAAAAGGAAGCCUGUACCAAUUUUCCCUCUCCCUAUUGCCUGGCAACCAUUGACCUACUCUCUUAUCUCUGUAUGUUUGCUAUUCUUGACUUUUCAUGUGGACAGAGUCACACACCAUGUGUCCUCUUCCAGUUAGCCUUUUUUACUUCUCAAUAUGUUUUUAGGGUUCACCAUCUUAUAGCAUGUAGCAAUAUUUCAUCCCAUGUAAGGGCUGAGUUGUAGGCCCUUGGAUGGAAAGGCCACGUUUUGUCUGUUCAUUAGCUGAUGAAUAUGUGGGUUGUUGAAAAGUAAUUGUGUCUUAUGGCCCUGAAUCAAGGCCGGCAGCUUCCUGAUGCUGUUGGUUUCAAGCAGGAGCCUAAAGAGAUGUCUUUCUGUGGUCUGUUGGCCAUUUCAGAACUUGGGCGGUGAAAUAGUCAAUUCAUUAGAGAGAAACAGCUACGCCCCAUGAGUGGCUGUGAGCGUGGCAGGCUACCGCGGCCCAGCAUGGGAGCCUCCGGCUUUUACUGGGACCUGAGCCAUGCUGGGACCUGGAGCGCUGGGAAACCAAGCAACCCCUCCCUGCUGCCUGUUUUGUUUUGUUGAACUUCAAUAUACAUGAAAGUAUGGACAGCUAUUUUGAAGAGAACAAGAGACUCUGUGACAGCCAUUAGUGACUUCCCUAUUGUCUGGUUUUGAAGACCUAAAACGCCUUCCUCAUUCUGUUUGGAGCAGUUUUAUACUAUGUUGUUUUGUAUGCAUUGUCUGUAUACAGAGACAGGGACAACUAUUUGGAAGAAAACAAGAGACAAUAUAGUAGAUAGUGAAGAUCUCAGGUUGUCUAGCUUUGAAAUUUCUCUCUCUUACAUUGCUUUCUUAUGUUCUAUUUUGUUGUUUUGUUGUGUUUAAUUUUACCCCCUUUAAAAUAAAAAUAAAAAAGAGAAGUAAUUCUGUCUUAAAAUUACAUAACACGAUAUAAGUCGCACGUGAUAUGUAUGUGUUUAAUAAUGAAUGCUGUUAUUUGUUGAGCACUUAUGUAAUAGGUGUUCUAAAUGUUGUGUGGUUAGCCCACUUGAUGAUCAAAAUAACCCUAGCAGAGAGGUGUGUUACCCCAUUAUUCUUAGGAGGAAGAUGGGAAAUAGGGAGAUUUAGUAUGAAGACAAAUAGCUAGUGAGUAAUGCCAACUUAGGAAUCACCUUUGAAGCAUGUACUUUCUCAUUAAGGAAUUUCAUAUAAUAAAGUUGAUUUUGAGGGGAGGUAGAGAAUAUACAUUCUAUAAAUUUUAAUACAUUUGUAAUUUUUUUAACCACCACCACAAUCAGGUAAAAACUUUUGUAAUCCCAAAAUAGCCUCGUGUGCUCUUUCUUCCCCAUCCGAAACCCUUCCCAAUCACAGACAUAAUCUCUAUCUUAUAGUUGUUGGUUUUUUUUUUGAGAUUGUCAUAUACAUGGAAUCCUGCAAUAUGUAACUUAUGAGCUUGAUUUAUUUUACUCAGGGUAAUGCUUUUGUGAUUCACCCAACUUAUUCCAUGUAACAGUAGUUUGUUCCUUUUUCAUUGCUUAGUAGCAAUCAGUUGUAUGUGAUGUACAUUUGUCCAUCUUUCAUUUUUUAAAAACUAGCAUUUUAACUAAGGCAUAAUAUUCAACCAGAAAGAGCACACACUUUAAAGAGAAUAAAAACAAAACAAAACAAAACAAAACAAAGCAAAUCAGAACAGAACAAUGCAACCAACUAGCCGUAACCAAAGUGCACACAUUUUAUGCACAGAGAUCAAUGCCUUUUUAAGAACUUGAGCAUUGGGGCUGGGGAUUUAGCUCAGUGGCAAAAGCGCCUGCCUUGCAAGCAGGCAGUCGUGAGUUCAAUCCCUGGUACCGAUAAAAAUGAAAAAGACAAAAAAAAAAUAACCAAAGAACUUGAGCAUUGCCAGUAACCCCAAUCGACUCUGCUUCUUGUCGAAGUAACCUUUCUUUCAACCUUACUUCGAGCUCCUAACUUGACCUGUUUUUGAACUUUAUAGGAACAGAAUUAUAUAAGAUAGACUUUUGAUCUGAGUUUUUAUGAUCAAAAUAUUUAUGAAUUUUGUUCAAGUAGUAGUAAUUUAUUCUCUCUUGUUUUCUUCCUGCCCUUAUAAUAUUUCAUUUCAAGUAUAUCAGAGUAUUGUUACUUGAUGAUGACACUUUUUUUUUUCCAGUUUGGGGCUACUUUGGGGCUGGAUGAUAAAGCAGGUGUAUGCUACACUAUUGUAGAUGAUGCUGAAGGUUUGCUAAACUGAAUGUAUCAACUUUUUGUGUACCAGCAGUGAAUAUGAUUCAGUUGGUUUACAACCUUAGUAACAUUUGGUAUUGACAUUUGAAAAGAAUUAAGCUGUUUGUUUAAAUCUGCGAAGUGGUGUCUUACUAAAAUUGAAGUUUGACUUGACCGAUUCUGGUCGGUUAUGUCACACUUGGUUUUACUCUCUUCCAAAACAGCAAUAAGAACCGUGGGAGCAAUGAAACCCAAAAUGUGUAAUAGUCAUUAUACAAAAGAGAGGGAAAAAAGUGCUCUAAACUAUAUAACUGCAUGUAUAUUUAAGUGUAUAAGAUAGAAAAUGAUAUUACAGAGUUUUAUUGGAUCAUUGAACAGAACUGUUUGCAGUAUCAUUGUUGGAAUGUCCACUCUACAAGCUUUAAUUUUGUGACUUGAACAAUUAUUUCUAAGAUGGCAAUAGGUAAUCCAUUAACUAGUGAUUUCCUACUGUUCAUUUUUUUCUUCUGUAAAUCUGUAUAACUUGUACCCUUUCACUGUUUUUCUUUCUUUUCUCCUUAAAUAAAAUUUUUAAAAAAAUUGAAGUUUGUCUUUUUGAUGACUAACAACUAACAAUAUUGAAUACCUUUUCUGAUUACAUACAUAUCCUUUACGAAACACCUGUUCAAGGUUUUUUCCCAUUUAAAUGGCCUGUCCUUUUUUAUUAAUUGCUAUAUAUGAAUAUGUAUAUUCUAAAUGUGAGGUUUUGGUUAGUUAACUCUAUUGCAAGUAUCUUCCCCCCUGUGGUUUGCCCAUUCAUUUUAUUUGAUGAAGGUUUUGUUCUGAAAUGCAAAUAAUAUAUGUAUUACUUUAACCAUUUAAAAGUGUGUAAUUCAGUAGCUUUAUGAACAUUCACAGUGUUGUACAAAUAUCACCACUAAUUCUAGAAAUUUUUCAUCAGCCUAAGAGCAAACUCUACACCUGCUAAGCAGCCACUCCCCUGUUUCUCCCCUCAAUCCUCCGGUGGCCACUCAUCUACUUUCUGUCUCUGUGGACUUGAUUACUCUGGACAUCUCAGAUAAAAGGAAAUGAUUCCUUUGAUAGAUUCCUUUGGUAAGCAGCCUUUUGUCACUGACUUCUUUCAUUUGACAUCAUGUUUUUGAGAUUUAGCUAUCAUAUGCCAUUAAAGAACUAAAUCACGAUGAGAUAUCACUUCACACCCACCAAGUUGACAAUCAUCAUUAUCAUCAUAAUAAAAAGGAAAAUAAUGUGUUGGAAUGGCGAUGACACAAAGAAAUCAGAGCCUUCAAGCAUUAAUGGUGGGGAAGAUUGUGGGAUUUUCUCAGUAUCUUACUGACGACUUUUAUUGGGGGUGGGUACCAGGGAUUGAACUCACGACUUGCCAGGUAGGGGCUUGUGCUCCUGAGCUGAAUUCCUGGCCCUCACUGAUGAUUUUGAUGAACAGAAGUUCUUGAGUGAAAUCAAAUUUAUCAAUCAUUCUACUUAGUACUUUUCAUGUCCUAAUGAAAAAAAAUCUUCAUGUGCCAGGUUUUUCUCUUAAACACUUAAUUAUUGUACUUCUACAUUUAGGUCUAUCCUCUACCUGGAAUGUAUUUUGCAUACAGUGUGAAGAAGGAUAUUUUUCUUAUUCCCAUAUGAGUUUUCAUCAACAAAGUUAUCAGGUUUUGGAAAUAGCACCUCUCCCUGUUUUAUUGAAUAGUGUCUGUCAUAAGCCAGAUAAUGGGUCUGGUUUUGGACUCUAUUUUCUCCUCUACUGAACUCUUUGUCUAUCUUUGUGCCAUUAUCUCCCUUGUCUUAAAACACUAUAGCUUCAUUUUAACUCUUGAUAUCUGGAGGUAAGUCUUCCAAUUUAGCUAAUAGUCAACAUUGUCUUGAAUAUUCUUGUCCUUUCUAAUUUCUAUAUAAAUUAUAAAGUCAGUUAAUCAAUUGCAACUGAAAAGAUACCUGUUAGGAUUUGAUCAGAGUGGCUUUUUUUUUUUUUCAGAACACAAUUUACUUCUGUACUUCUUUAGGUCUUGCAUUAAGUUAGAAUCCUGUGGAGAGGUAAAACCACAUCUACGAUUUGAAUAAGGAAAGCUUAAUAUAAAAAUUUGUCAGCUAGCAAAGUUAGUAAACAGGCGAGUAACCAUUUAAAAAGGUCAGGUUAGAGUGCUGAUGGGUAAAAAAAAAAAAACAACUGCAGAAAUCAGCUGUUGGGGCAGAUUAAUAGAGAAUAAGUGAAGAUAACUGGAAACUUAAAAAGGGUUCCUUCCCCAUUGCCAAAGCUGAGAUUCUGAUGUCUAGGAGAAGGCUUUGCUACUACUAACCUGCAGUGAGCUAGAAAUAGCUGGCCACAGCUGACCUGGAGGAGGGCUUGCACUUGGAUGGUAGAGGAAGUUCCCAGAGGGGUUAGGCCAGACUAUUGGUCUCCAGGAUUUCUGAUAUGGUCAGCAAAUGUGGGGAUAAUUUAUCUGCUUAGUUCAUUCUGACCUCAAAGAAUAAAUUUAACAUACAGUAUUUCACCAUUUUGGAUGCAUUGCCUCUAGGGUUUUUUUGUUUGUUUGUUUUUUGAUAAUCAAACCUAUUCUUAGUUUGCAAAGAUGAAUCUAUAACUGGGUAUUGGAUUUAAAAAAAUAUGUUUCUUCAUCUAUUGAGAUAAUUCUAAGGUUUUUUGUUCCUUAUUCCAUUAAUGUGAAGAAUUAUAUGAUUUCUUUUAUAUAUGAAACUUUGUAUUUUUUUAAAAUUUUAUUUAAAAGGAAAAAGAGAAAAGCACAAAACAAAACAAAGCGGUGUAAGGGUACACGUAAUACAGAACUACAAAAAAAAAACAGUAAGAAAUCCCCUGUUAAUAGAUUACAUAUUAUCAUCUUAGAGAUAGUUGCUCAAAUCACAGUAUCAAAGAAUACAAAGUGGACAUUCAAACAUUGAGACUGCAAACAGUUGUUGUGUUCAAUGAUCCAACCAAAAACAUUAAUAUGGUCAGCUAUUUAACACCCCUAAACACACUUGCUGUUGUAUCCAUUAGAGCUCUUUUUUUUCCCCUCUCUUUUUUACAACAAAAUUUACACAUUUUGGAUUUUAUUACUCCUUAGUUCUUAUUACUUUUUUGGGGGGGGAGAGAAUAAAGUCAAAUUUGGCAAAACAAAGCUGUCAGUCAAAACCAAGGAUAGACAUAGCACAUGAUGUAAAACAGAGUACAAGGUUAUCAACAAUGGUUAUCAAUGAUAUCUCUUGUUUCCUUAAAAAGAAUUGUCUAUCUCAUUAGAUAUUAUAAAGUUGAACAAAACAGUAGAGAACAAGACCAAUAAA
Cavia porcellus (domestic guinea pig) is the source of this 24653-nucleotide long non-coding RNA. RefSeq lists it as uncharacterized. NCBI's taxonomy places the organism in Eukaryota, Metazoa, Chordata, Mammalia, Rodentia, Caviidae. The transcript has 3 exons. The record is from RefSeq and is a predicted model, not a curated record.